Molecule: ribosomal RNA, 497 nt
Filed under: uncultured bacterium
Lineage: Bacteria
Description: partial 16S ribosomal RNA
Rfam family: Bacterial small subunit ribosomal RNA
Source: RNAcentral
GAUGAACGCUGGCGGCGUGCCUAAUACAUGCAAGUCGAGCGAACAGACGAGGAGCUUGCUCCUCUGACGUUAGCGGCGGACGGGUGAGUAACACGUGGAUAACCUACCUAUAAGACUGGGAUAACUUCGGGAAACCGGAGCUAAUACCGGAUAAUAUAUUGAACAGCAUGGUUCAAUAGUGAAAGACGGUUUUGCUGUCACUUAUAGAUGGAUCCGCGCCGCAUUAGCUAGUUGGGAAGGUAACGGCUUACCAAGGCGACGAUGCGUAGCCGACCUGAGAGGGUGGUCGGCCACACUGGAACUGAGACACGCUCCAGACUCCUACGGUAGGCAGCAGUAGGGAAUCUGCCGCAAUGGGCGAAAGCCUGACGGAGCAACGCGGCGUGAGUGAUGAAGGUCUUCGGAUCGUAAAACUCUGUUAUUAGGGAAGAACAAAUGUGUAAGUAACUAUGCACGUCUUGACGGUACCUAAUCAGAAAGCCACGGCUAACUACGUG